This 292-nucleotide unclassified non-coding RNA is filed under the name Homo sapiens (human). RNAcentral describes it as "multiple EGF like domains 11 (ENSG00000277848.4)". Lineage: Eukaryota; Metazoa; Chordata; Mammalia; Primates; Hominidae. The record is from RNAcentral.
AUUUGUCUCAAAGUAGCAGCCAUGCCCACUGCUUUUCCAAUUCCAGCUACCACGCACUGGCAUGUGGGGGGCCUGCCACCAGCCAGGCCAGCACUCUGGACAGGAACAGCCCCACCAAGCUCAGUAACAAGUCCCUUGACAGAGACACAGCAGGCUGGACCCCCUACAGCUAUGUGAACGUGUUAGACUCCCAUUUCCAGAUCAGUGCCCUGGAGGCCAGGUACCCGCCCGAGGACUUCUACAUUGAACUUAGACACCUCAGCCGCCCCGCUGAGCCACACUCACCAGGUCA